AUUGAACGCUGGCGGAAUGCUUUACACAUGCGAGUCGAACGAUGAACCUUAGCUUGCUAAGGGGAUUAGUGGCGAACGGGUGAGUAAUGUAUCGGAACGUAUCCAAUAAUGGGGGAUAACUAGUCGAAAGAUUAGCUAAUACCGCAUACGUCCUACGGGAGAAAGCUAGGGACCUUCGGGCCUGGCGUUAAUGGAGCGGCCGAUAUCUGAUUAGCUAGUUGGUGGGGUAAAGGCUCACCAAGGCGACGAUCAGUAGCUGGUCUGAGAGGACGACCAGCCACACUGGAACUGAGACACGGUCCCGACUCCUACGGGAGGCAGCAGUGGGGAAUUUUGGACAAUGGGCGAAAGCCUGAUCCAGCCAUUCCGCGUGAGUGAAGAAGGCCUUCGGGUUGUAAAGCUCUUUCGCAAGGGAAGAAAACUUAAGCUCUAACAUAGCUUGAGGUUGACGGUACCUUGAUAAGAAGCACCGGCUAACUACGUGCCAGCAGCCGCAGUAA
This 500-nucleotide ribosomal RNA is filed under the name uncultured bacterium. Its description in RNAcentral is "partial 16S ribosomal RNA". It matches the Rfam family "Bacterial small subunit ribosomal RNA", at positions 30 to 523 of the family's 1533-position model. The record is from RNAcentral.